RNAcentral lists this long non-coding RNA (1791 nucleotides) under Cicer arietinum (chickpea). RNAcentral's name for it is "long non-coding RNA (CARI_LNC001981)". Lineage: Eukaryota; Viridiplantae; Streptophyta; Magnoliopsida; Fabales; Fabaceae. The record is from RNAcentral.
AGUGCAUGGAUCAUGAACCUCCCAUGUAUACUGUUCAUUCCACCUAGGCGACAGUGUAUCAAGCAGAGUUCUUGUCCUAACCCAUUUGUUACCGUACUUGGCCACACAGUAUGCAUCAGUAGUCCUACCAUCUUUGCCUUUCAUAGGUAGCAAAUUCCGGGCACUAAGUAUCCCGAGUUCGAGAAUUCCAAUGUUUUUCCUCCUUAAGUGUUUGGACGACGGUUGAAGAUCGCUGCUGAAAUGUGUCGAUUCAUCAAGAACAUGAUACCCUGCUUCCAGACAAAUCCGGAGGUGAAUCUUGCUCGAGAAUUUCUCCUUCUUUCUCUCCGUCUCCUCUUCACCGACCUCACUAGGCCUAUGAAGAUUGAACCAACGUGCAUCCGGGAGCUUACCCGUCUCUUGUCUUUGCGGAACAUUUCUCACCGACAUGACCUCUCUUCCCAAGAUUUCAACAUUGUUAGGACCAAAUUUGUCCUCAACUGUCACAAUUAUAAAAUCCUCAAAAGGUUCACAACUUAGUAUAGCUUGAGCUCUUUCUCCUUGAGUAGCUAAAUCUCCAACCACAGUCUGUACUCUACCUGCAACACUUCUCAAUCUGUCAUACCUCAUUCUCACAAUAUCCGAAGGUCUUGAAGUUGGAAAAGUGUCAAAUUCCUCAUCCAAUUCAUCUGGAUGCACAGCUUCUGCUUGCGAAAGUCUAGCAUCCAUGUGUGGUGGAUUCCUUGGCCGGAACCGGUAAUUCCAAAUCCCGAUUACAAACAAAUAAAGAAAACUGGUUGGCAAUAUCAAUUCAGGGUAGAAAAUAAGUAUCAAGAACAAGACAUGAACAAGGCAAGUUGUGAUUGGGUUUCUCCAAGUGCAAAUAUCAUCAAGCCAUUUACACACAGCUGAAAAACCCGAGAGUAGCGACAUUAUGCGGUGAAAAUUGGCUUUGCUUCUCCUUAGACUCCACAUAUGGUAAUCUACAUCAAGCAUGUAUUCAACUGAUUCGCGUCGAAGCGGCGGCUCAGCUCUUGCUAGCCUUGCUGCCACGAUCUGCAUGGCCUGAUAACGGAGCCAAUCAAUGUGGCGAACAGGUAUUGGUUGAACAUAAUGCAUUUUGGGAAGCAAAGGUCUUCCAUAUUGAGCUACCAUAUUAACCCAAGCUGUGCAAGUGAACCUCACAGCCAAGUGAAGCUCUCCAUUCUUCUUUAGGCCAUUGGUUUGGAGAACCAAUAGAGGAUAAUAAUGAGUAUAUACUCUAUCAGUUUCGAGUGUUGAUAACCUUAUUCUCACCUUUCCAAUUCUCUGAUCUUUGUUGUCACUGCUCCCAUUGAGGUGGUGAUUGUCGAAAACACUAACCGUGAUCACAGUGCAUGGAUCAUGAACCUCCCAUGUAUACUGUUCAUUCCACCUAGGCGACAGUGUAUCAAGCAGAGUUCUUGUCCUAACCCAUUUGUUACCGUACUUGGCCACACAGUAUGCAUCAGUAGUCCUACCAUCUUUGCCUUUCAUAGGUAGCAAAUUCCGGGCACUAAGUAUCCCGAGUUCGAGAAUUCCAAUGUUUUUCCUCCUUAAGUGUUUGGACGACGGUUGAAGAUCGCUGCUGAAAUGUGUCGAUUCAUCAAGAACAUGAUACCCUGCUUCCAGACAAAUCCGGAGGUGAAUCUUGCUCGAGAAUUUCUCCUUCUUUCUCUCCGUCUCCUCUUCACCGACCUCACUAGGCCUAUGAAGAUUGAACCAACGUGCAUCCGGGAGCUUACCCGUCUCUUGUCUUUGCGGAACAUUUCUCACCGACAUGACCUCUCUUCC